Molecule: non-coding RNA, 3881 nt
Organism: Xyrichtys novacula (pearly razorfish)
Lineage: Eukaryota; Metazoa; Chordata; Actinopteri; Labriformes; Labridae
Source: the annotation of a GenBank genome assembly
CAGAGGAGGGAAAACUGAGGAAGUAAAACGAGACAAGAAACACAGGGAGUAAACUACUUCAAAAUAAAACAGGAAACACUGAAAACUGAUAUAUGAAAUAGGGAACAGAAACACUAGGGAAAAUACACCCAAAUCACAGGAAAAAACUCAACAAACAGAAUAUAUCAUGACACUUUCUCUCUAACUCAGAAGUUUGUGUGAAUGCAUUUGGGUCCAUAAACUGAUUUACAUGAACAAACUGUCCUGAGAGUUUACAUGUAUAAUGAGCAUAAGACAGACAAAUUCAAUUUACCAAAUAGCUGUAUAAGUAGCAUGUUUGAAUUGAAUCUUAGACCAAUAACAUGCAUUUGAAGUCAUAUGAAAGUAGGCAUGCAUAAGUAUGUUGUUAAUGGCUUUAUACUACCAAGACACCAAUUGUUAAGGAUUUGGAGUUGAAUUUUUCCCAUUCUUGCUUUAUGGACCACUUGGUCAUAUGAGGUACCACAUGUACAGUCGCUUGACAGUCUGAAGUCUUCUCCAUGGAAACUACUUUAGAUAAGGAUAAUAAACUGACAGAAGUUUUUCUGUAUUCUGCGUUCAUUUCAUGUAUUUCAGCACAAUUUCUGCUUCUAACCCUAAGCCAGUGGUUCAAACCGUAGACAGUAAAGCACAAAUGUAACGAUCUUUGAAAACUGAAAUCUCUGUUCAUAUACUGUGAAAUAUUUAGAUGGCGACACCGACUGCUGUGUGCAACACUGCCUCUUAUUUUGUACAUAAUUAAACUAAUGACUCCAACUUCUGAGUGCGAACAGUGCCAUCUAUCAUAAAUGCACAGGCCACUGCCUUCCUCUGAUUGGUUGUAGGCCUGUUUACAACUAAUCAGAGCACUCACUUCUCUAUGUUGCUGUUGCCAGACCUAGAAUAAAUUCACCAAGGUGAACUGGUCUGAUAAUGGUAAUGUCAGGUGAGGAGAUACCAUUAAUCUCUGCUGAUUUUGUUCCGUGCAAAUGCAAGUUGUGUUUUCUGAACCUUCUGAUUUUUGAAAAACAAACUUGGAUCUGCACCAGAGCACUGGCUGCUUUCAAACUUAAAGGUUCUAUGGUAAACACAGACAAGAGCGGAGCAACAUGUCUGAUACAUAAAAGAACCAUCGAGAAGAAGAUUGGGAUACAUUAAAAAUGACACAGACUCAAGCAAGUGGACCUGGAUUUUGAUUCCACUCAGAUUCUCCCCUUGUGUCUUUUACUUGUUCUUGGACUUGAACACUAGGGAUAAACACUCAACUCUGACUGAAGUUUCUGUGACUGGACUACAAUACUUUAAAUGGAUAUACAAACCUGUGCAUAAAGCUAGUACAGAUAACACUAAAUCAGUGCAAAUUGCUUUUUAUUGAUGGAAACUUUACCAUCAAUAAAAUCAAUUAAAUCACCUCAGAUUAUGAUUAUAAUCCAAGCACCGCAGCAUUACAGCUGGACUGGAUUUAUGCAUUAAGUGCAGUUUUCAUAAUGUUAUUACUAAUAUCAUUUUCUGCUUGUUUUCAAAACAGAUAGAAAGUAAGAUGUAACAGAGACCCAUGAAGACAGACAGACAGACAGGCAGGCAGGCAGACAGACAGACUGCUGUAGCUGUUGGCAUUUCAGCAGUGACCUUUCUGGUGGUCUUAAGGCCUGCAGAGACUAACAAACACACACACUCACUCACACAAAUACACACUCAGAUGGGGGGACAGGGGUCCAAAGGCUUUGUAAAGCUGUCAAACAGACACAGAUUAAGAUCCUACAGCUUCAAAUAAAAUGUCUCUCCCCACUGCACACUGUCUCUCUCUUUACAUUCUCACACAGAGCAGACCCAGUCGUCCUCAUCAUUGGGCAGACUUUAUGUGCUGUUAUUUUAAAAAAAAAGGCUGGACAUACAGUAUAUCCUGGUAAGAAACAUUUUACGUUUGAGCAAAGAUAGAGAAAGAAGAAGUAAGAGGUGAAGGUUUGAACGUCAGUUUGAUUAACAAACCAAAUGAGGGAAGUGGAGGAGUCAGGGUUACAGAUGUGAGUGUAACAGACAGACAAGCUGUAAAACGAUCCUGGAAAGAGAGGAGAGCGAGAGGAGAUCCAGGAUGAAGAUAUCUGCCUAUCACAAGCCGUGAGGAUUUGUGUUUUCCUCUCAGAGCUGCUGAUUCUUCAGCUCUUAAGCCCCAGAGUCACCAGCUGUCACUGUUUCACACUCUGCUAACAGGAAGUGAUGUAAACAUAUGGACCAACAUGUGCCAAUCACAACUGUCAUAUGACAGCUUCAAAUCCGAUAUUGCAGCAUGUUUCCGAUAAGAGUUGGUCUGGGGAAUAAAACAAUGGAAAUUUACAAAAUAAAUGAAGACUGACCCCCCCAAAAAAGGUGUCUUUGAUUUUUGCAUCAUCAACAGACCUGACUGUUAGAAAGGUAUGGAUGACACAAUUUAUGAAAAACCACCAUGACAUUUUCCCUUGUUUUGUCAUAUUAUUGGCAAUAUUGUGGAUGUUACAUUUAGGGUUUUUCGCAAAGCAAGCAUCCAAGUAUUAUUUCCAUUAAUUUUUCAGACUUCACAGGAAAAAUCAGUGCCAACACUAAAAGCAACUUACUUUUCACUACAGCGUUACAUAUUUGGACAAUUAUCCGCUCUGUGUCGGCAAACGUGGUGAGGUUUGCAAUAAGUUUCAGAUCAGGUAGCAAGUUCCAGGAUUUUGCACCUUUAACAGAAAAAGCUGUCUGUGCAAAAGAUGUUUCACAGAGCACCACGUGAAGCUGCUCUGGUGGAUCUGCUGCAGCUUUAUAUAUUAGAGUGGAACACUGAGGAGGAAGAUUAAUCAAACGUUUGAACACAAACGUUGUUUUUUUUAUUUGCACAACCGACCUAUAAAGCUGUAUUUUGUUUUUGUAAAGAUAAAUGUCAAAAGGUCCAAGAAUAUUAAGACUCCAUUAGCUACAAACAAAACUUCCACUGCUCAUGACAGAAGUGAUUAUAAUCAUUUUAUUUGCUCAUCAAGAUGAUCAAAGAAGAAAAACAGAAAAUGUUUGCUCUUGUGUGAAAAGUGUGCAGAUUGUCCCUGUAAAAGUAGAGACUUGAGGGUUUCUUUGUUUUGGCUCUGCUGCAGCAGUCCACUGAGCACCUCAGUUAAAUCAGAGUGAACUCAUGAAUGAGGCUGAUCAGAUUUUCAUGCGAACUCUAUGAUAUGAAACCAAUCAGAGGAGCUCACAUCUCAUCAAAGAGUCAAUUAAUAAUCAAUAGUCAUUAGAGCAGAGAGGAGGGGGCACCAUCACAGGCUGCAGCUCCGACUGGGCCAGAGGAGCGUGAAAUUACUGCUCAAACUGUACUGUACACACGCGCGCACACACACACGCACACACACACACACACCUGUCUGUAGGCAUACUUCCUCCUCCCCAAAACCCCCACUUGAUGUAAAAUUGUGUGGAAAUAUGUUCACAGCUCUUAGUGUUUGUAUUUAGAUUUCUCAAAAUUACAUCACAUCAACCUGUUUCAAUGACAAGAACAGGUGUGAACAGGUCAGCAUGAUGUAUGCUUUUCUAAUGAGGUUUUAGGCUGUGAUGAUUUUUUUAAUUAUAUACAUAGAUAUCUUUAUAUAAAAACAUAUAUAUAUAUGUAAAUCUGGAAGUAUAAGACAUUUUUCCAUAUUUUUUACAUGUUAUAAAUAAAUGCUCUAUCAGUCCUGUUAAAUUUAAGUGCACUGAUUAAAAGUCUUGGUUAAUGCCUUGAUGUUGUGUGGGUGUGUUUUUGUCAGACCAGGUGUAGCUCAGCAGGUAGAAAACAGAGAGUCGUGUGGAACAACCAAGGUCACAUUGAAGGAUCCAGUUUCCACAUUUCAUAAUUCAUCAUCCAGACCUGCAGAUUGAACCUGUUCUUUUCUGAAGAU